AUUUAUAAUUGAAAUCUAGAAUGAAUGGUCUAAUGAAAUAAAUUCUUUUUUAAUUUUAUUAAAUGAAUUUUUUUUUUUAGUUAAAAAACUGAAAUAAUUUUAUGGGACGAGAAGACCCUAUAGAAUUUUAUAUUAAUUAAAUUUAGUAUUAAUUUAUAAAUUAUUUAUAAAAUUUAUUAAAUAUUUUAUUGGGGUGAUAAUUAAAUUUAAUUAACUUUAAAUUAAAAUUUCAUUGAUUUUUGUUUAUUUGAUCUUUUUAUAUUGAUUAAAAAUUUAAAUUACCUUAGGGAUAACAGCAUAAUUUUAUUAAGAAGUUCUUAUUUUUAAUAUUGUUUAU
This 337-nucleotide ribosomal RNA is filed under the name Lasioptera rubi. RNAcentral describes it as "partial 16S ribosomal RNA". The record is from RNAcentral. Lineage: Eukaryota; Metazoa; Arthropoda; Insecta; Diptera; Cecidomyiidae.